RNAcentral lists this ribosomal RNA (376 nucleotides) under uncultured Bacteroidales bacterium. RNAcentral describes it as "bacterial SSU rRNA". It matches the Rfam family "Bacterial small subunit ribosomal RNA", at positions 42 to 414 of the family's 1533-position model. Lineage: Bacteria; Pseudomonadati; Bacteroidota; Bacteroidia; Bacteroidales. The record is from RNAcentral.
ACAGGCUUAACACAUGCAAGUCGAGGGGUAACACAAGGUAGCAAUACUGAGGUGACGACCGGCGCACGGGUGAGUAACACGUAUCCAACCUACCAUUUACUCUUGGAUAGCCUUCUGAAAAGGAGAUUAAUACAAGAUAGUAUCAUGAGUUCACAUGUUCACAUGAUUAAAGAAUUUCGGUAAUUGAUGGGGAUGCGUUCCAUUAGAUAGUAGGCGGGGUAACGGCCCACCUAGUCUACGAUGGAUAGGGGUUCUGAGAGGAAGGUCCCCCACACUGGUACUGAGACACGGACCAGACUCCUACGGGAGGCAGCAGUGAGGAAUAUUGGUCAAUGGGCGCAAGCCUGAACCAGCCAAGUAGCGUGAAGGAUGACGG